UUAUGGCUCAGGACGAACGCUGGCGGCAUGCCUAACACAUGCAAGUCGAACGGGACUCUUAACGACCGAGGCUUCGGCCAAGUGAAUAUGAGUUAGUGGCGGACGGGUGAGUAACGCGUGAGCAACCUGCCUUUCAGAGGGGGACAACAGUUGGAAACGACUGCUAAUACCGCAUGACAUACAGAGGGGGCAUCCUUUCUGUAUCAAAGAUUUAUCGCUGAAAGAUGGGCUCGCGUCUGAUUAGAUAGUUGGCGGGGCAACGGCCCACCAAGUCGACGAUCAGUAGCCGGACUGAGAGGUUGAACGGCCACAUUGGGACUGAGAUACGGCCCAGACUCCUACGGGAGGCAGCAGUGGGGAAUAUUGGUCAAUGGGGGGCCAACCCUGAACCAGCAAUGCCGCGUGAAGGAAGAAGGCCUUCGGGUUGUAAACUUCUUUGACGAGGGACGAUAAUGACGGUACCUCGAAAACAAGCCACGGCUAACUACGUGCCAGCCGCCGC
Molecule: ribosomal RNA, 502 nt
Filed under: uncultured bacterium
Lineage: Bacteria
Description: bacterial SSU rRNA
Rfam family: Bacterial small subunit ribosomal RNA
Source: RNAcentral